This 337-nucleotide ribosomal RNA is filed under the name Lysinibacillus sphaericus. RNAcentral describes it as "bacterial SSU rRNA". It matches the Rfam family "Bacterial small subunit ribosomal RNA", at positions 826 to 1161 of the family's 1533-position model. Lineage: Bacteria; Bacillati; Bacillota; Bacilli; Caryophanales; Bacillaceae. The record is from RNAcentral.
GGGGGUUUCCGCCCCUUAGUGCUGCAGCUAACGCAUUAAGCACUCCGCCUGGGGAGUACGGUCGCAAGACUGAAACUCAAAGGAAUUGACGGGGGCCCGCACAAGCGGUGGAGCAUGUGGUUUAAUUCGAAGCAACGCGAAGAACCUUACCAGGUCUUGACAUCCCGUUGACCACUGUAGAGAUAUGGUUUCCCCUUCGGGGGCAACGGUGACAGGUGGUGCAUGGUUGUCGUCAGCUCGUGUCGUGAGAUGUUGGGUUAAGUCCCGCAACGAGCGCAACCCUUGAUCUUAGUUGCCAUCAUUUAGUUGGGCACUCUAAGGUGACUGCCGGUGACAA